AGCUCUCUGUCUCCGUGCUGAGAUCUCGUCACACACCAGACCACAAGGGCUGAUGAGACUUCCAAGAUAAGUGAAGCG
RNAcentral lists this microRNA precursor (78 nucleotides) under Schistosoma mattheei. RNAcentral describes it as "mir-3492 microRNA precursor family". It matches the Rfam family "mir-3492 microRNA precursor family". Lineage: Eukaryota; Metazoa; Platyhelminthes; Trematoda; Strigeidida; Schistosomatidae. The record is from Rfam by way of RNAcentral.